RNAcentral lists this ribosomal RNA (1007 nucleotides) under Paraburkholderia sediminicola. RNAcentral's name for it is "bacterial SSU rRNA". It matches the Rfam family "Bacterial small subunit ribosomal RNA", at positions 60 to 1061 of the family's 1533-position model. Lineage: Bacteria; Pseudomonadati; Pseudomonadota; Betaproteobacteria; Burkholderiales; Burkholderiaceae. The record is from RNAcentral.
AGUCGAACGGCAGCACGGGAGCAACCCUGGUGGCGAGUGGCGAACGGGUGAGUAAUACAUCGGAACGUGUCCUGUAGUGGGGGAUAGCCCGGCGAAAGCCGGAUUAAUACCGCAUACGCUCUACGGAGGAAAGGGGGGGAUCUCAGGACCUCCCGCUACAGGGGCGGCCGAUGGCAGAUUAGCUAGUUGGUGGGGUAAAGGCCUACCAAGGCGACGAUCUGUAGCUGGUCUGAGAGGACGACCAGCCACACUGGGACUGAGACACGGCCCAGACUCCUACGGGAGGCAGCAGUGGGGAAUUUUGGACAAUGGGCGAAAGCCUGAUCCAGCAAUGCCGCGUGUGUGAAGAAGGCCUUCGGGUUGUAAAGCACUUUUGUCCGGAAAGAAAACCUCCGCCCUAAUAUGGUGGGGGGAUGACGGUACCGGAAGAAUAAGCACCGGCUAACUACGUGCCAGCAGCCGCGGUAAUACGUAGGGUGCAAGCGUUAAUCGGAAUUACUGGGCGUAAAGCGUGCGCAGGCGGUCCGCUAAGACAGAUGUGAAAUCCCCGGGCUUAACCUGGGAACUGCAUUUGUGACUGGCGGGCUAGAGUAUGGCAGAGGGGGGUAGAAUUCCACGUGUAGCAGUGAAAUGCGUAGAGAUGUGGAGGAAUACCGAUGGCGAAGGCAGCCCCCUGGGCCAAUACUGACGCUCAUGCACGAAAGCGUGGGGAGCAAACAGGAUUAGAUACCCUGGUAGUCCACGCCCUAAACGAUGUCAACUAGUUGUUGGGGAUUCAUUUCCUUAGUAACGUAGCUAACGCGUGAAGUUGACCGCCUGGGGAGUACGGUCGCAAGAUUAAAACUCAAAGGAAUUGACGGGGACCCGCACAAGCGGUGGAUGAUGUGGAUUAAUUCGAUGCAACGCGAAAAACCUUACCUACCCUUGACAUGUAUGGAAUCCUGCUGAGAGGUGGGAGUGCCCGAAAGGGAGCCAUAACACAGGUGCUGCAUGGCUGUCGUCAGCUC